GCGUGUAGUGAAACACAAUAUCCUAAUACAAUGAAAUACGGUAUGAUCAUGUGUCUCAAGUGUUUUUCACUGGAGUCCGGGGCGGGCGACCAUCGUACCGUUAUGAGUCUUAGACGGGGGGGGGUUGCCGUUGCAAGACGCGGGGUGAGCUUGGCGAGUAGGGAGUGGUACCGGUCUCAGGUCUCCCGUUUAUCCCGUUGGAUGUGUGGUUUGCGGGUUUCAGGUGCACCCGUCUAAUGAGUGGCGACGAGUCACACGGCGUCGGUAAUUACCCGUGUCUACCCAAGCCGUGCCUCGUGACCGACGAAGAAAGACGCGGAUGACGUCAAGUCCCAUGGCAGUUGUGCCUCUCUUUUACCCGUUCCAUCAAGGGUACCGGAACACCAUCACGCUAAAAUGGCCGCGACAAUGCGUUGCAAAGCCGCAAGGCGGAGCAAAUCGCCUAAACGUGGUCGCGAGUGCAGAGCGGGGGCUGCAACUCGCCCACGUGAAGACGAAGUUGCUAGUAACCCCGUAAGGGCG
RNAcentral lists this ribosomal RNA (522 nucleotides) under uncultured bacterium. RNAcentral's name for it is "partial 16S ribosomal RNA". The stretch from base 338 to 522 matches the Rfam family "Bacterial small subunit ribosomal RNA", at positions 929 to 1354 of the family's 1533-position model. The record is from RNAcentral.